GGUCAAGUGAAGAAGCGCAUACGGUGGAUGCCUUGGCAGUCAGAGGCGAUGAAAGACGUGGUAGCCUGCGAAAAGCUUCGGGGAGUCGGCAAACAGACUGUGAUCCGGAGAUGUCUGAAUGGGGGAACCCAGCCAUCAUAAGAUGGUUAUCUUACACUGAAUACAUAGGUGUAAGAGGCGAACCAGGGGAACUGAAACAUCUAAGUACCCUGAGGAAAAGAAAUCAACCGAGAUUCCCUUAGUAGUGGCGAGCGAACGGGGACCAGCCCUUAAGUUGUAUUGAGAUUAGCGGAACGCUCUGGAAAGGGCGGCCAUAGUGGGUGAUAGCCCUGUACGCGAAAAUCCCUUUGCAAUGAAAUCGAGUAGGACGGGGCACGAGAAACCUUGUCUGAAUAUGGGGGGACCAUCCUCCAAGGCUAAAUACUACUGACUGACCGAUAGUGAACCAGUACCGUGAGGGAAAGGCGAAAAGAACCGCGGAGAGCGGAGUGAAAUAGAUCCUGAAACCGUAUGCGUACAAGCAGUGGGAGCCCACUUUGUUGGGUGACUGCGUACCUUUUGUAUAAUGGGUCAGCGACUUAUUUUCAGUGGCGAGCUUAACCGAAUAGGGGAGGCGUAGCGAAAGCGAGUCUUAAUAGGGCGUCUAGUCGCUGGGAAUAGACCCGAAACCGGGCGAUCUAUCCAUGGGCAGGUUGAAGGUUGGGUAACACUAACUGGAGGACCGAACCGACUACCGUUGAAAAGUUAGCGGAUGACCUGUGGAUCGGAGUGAAAGGCUAAUCAAGCUCGGAGAUAGCUGGUUCUCCUCGAAAGCUAUUUAGGUAGCGCCUCAUGUAUCACUGUAGGGGGUAGAGCACUGUUUCGGCUAGGGGGUCAUCCCGACUUACCAAACCGAUGCAAACUCCGAAUACCUACAAGUGCCGAGCAUGGGAGACACACGGCGGGUGCUAACGUCCGUCGUGAAAAGGGAAACAACCCAGACCGUCAGCUAAGGUCCCAAAGUCAUGGUUAAGUGGGAAACGAUGUGGGAAGGCUUAGACAGCUAGGAGGUUGGCUUAGAAGCAGCCACCCUUUAAAGAAAGCGUAAUAGCUCACUAGUCGAGUCGGCCUGCGCGGAAGAUGUAACGGGGCUCAAACCAUGCACCGAAGCUACGGGUAUCAUCUUUUGAUGAUGCGGUAGAGGAGCGUUCUGUAAGCCUGUGAAGGUGAGUUGAGAAGCUUGCUGGAGGUAUCAGAAGUGCGAAUGCUGACAUGAGUAACGACAAUGGGUGUGAAAAACACCCACGCCGAAAGACCAAGGUUUCCUGCGCAACGUUAAUCGACGCAGGGUUAGUCGGUCCCUAAGGCGAGGCUGAAAAGCGUAGUCGAUGGAAAACAGGUUAAUAUUCCUGUACUUCUGGUUAUUGCGAUGGAGGGACGGAGAAGGCUAGGCCAGCCUGGCGUUGGUAGUCCAGGUUUAAGGUGGUAGGCUGAGAUCUUAGGUAAAUCCGGGAUCUUAAGGCCGAGAGCUGAUGACGAGUGUUCUUUUAGAACAUGAAGUGGUUGAUGCCAUGCUUCCAAGAAAAGCUUCUAAGCUUCAGGUAACCAGGAACCGUACCCCAAACCGACACAGGUGGUUGGGUAGAGAAUACCAAGGCGCUUGAGAGAACUCGGGUGAAGGAACUAGGCAAAAUGGCACCGUAACUUCGGGAGAAGGUGCGCCGGUGAGGGUGAAGCAUUUACUGCGUAAGCCCACGCCGGUCGAAGAUACCAGGCCGCUGCGACUGUUUAUUAAAAACACAGCACUCUGCAAACACGAAAGUGGACGUAUAGGGUGUGACGCCUGCCCGGUGCCGGAAGGUUAAUUGAUGGGGUUAGCGCAAACGAAGCUCUUGAUCGAAGCCCCGGUAAACGGCGGCCGUAACUAUAACGGUCCUAAGGUAGCGAAAUUCCUUGUCGGGUAAGUUCCGACCUGCACGAAUGGCGUAACGAUGGCGGCGCUGUCUCCACCCGAGACUCAGUGAAAUUGAAAUCGCUGUGAAGAUGCAGUGUAUCCGCGGCUAGACGGAAAGACCCCGUGAACCUUUACUAUAGCUUUGCACUGGACUUUGAAUUUGCUUGUGUAGGAUAGGUGGGAGGCUUUGAAGCGUGGACGCCAGUCUGCGUGGAGCCAACCUUGAAAUACCACCCUGGCAACUUUGAGGUUCUAACUCAGGUCCGUUAUCCGGAUCGAGGACAGUGUAUGGUGGGUAGUUUGACUGGGGCGGUCUCCUCCUAAAGAGUAACGGAGGAGUACGAAGGUGCGCUCAGACCGGUCGGAAAUCGGUCGUAGAGUAUAAAGGCAAAAGCGCGCUUGACUGCGAGACAGACACGUCGAGCAGGUACGAAAGUAGGUCUUAGUGAUCCGGUGGUUCUGUAUGGAAGGGCCAUCGCUCAACGGAUAAAAGGUACUCCGGGGAUAACAGGCUGAUACCGCCCAAGAGUUCAUAUCGACGGCGGUGUUUGGCACCUCGAUGUCGGCUCAUCACAUCCUGGGGCUGAAGCCGGUCCCAAGGGUAUGGCUGUUCGCCAUUUAAAGUGGUACGCGAGCUGGGUUUAGAACGUCGUGAGACAGUUCGGUCCCUAUCUGCCGUGGACGUUUGAGAUUUGAGAGGGGCUGCUCCUAGUACGAGAGGACCGGAGUGGACGAACCUCUGGUGUUCCGGUUGUCACGCCAGUGGCAUUGCCGGGUAGCUAUGUUCGGAAAAGAUAACCGCUGAAAGCAUCUAAGCGGGAAACUUGCCUCAAGAUGAGAUCUCACUGGAACCUUGAGUUCCCUGAAGGGCCGUCGAAGACUACGACGUUGAUAGGUUGGGUGUGUAAGCGCUGUGAGGCGUUGAGCUAACCAAUACUAAUUGCCCGUGAGGCUUGACCAUAUAACACCC
This 2903-nucleotide ribosomal RNA is filed under the name Pseudomonas syringae pv. tomato str. DC3000. Its description in RNAcentral is "bacterial LSU rRNA". It matches the Rfam family "Bacterial large subunit ribosomal RNA". The record is from RNAcentral. Lineage: Bacteria; Pseudomonadati; Pseudomonadota; Gammaproteobacteria; Pseudomonadales; Pseudomonadaceae.